Small nuclear RNA from Choloepus didactylus (southern two-toed sloth), 103 nucleotides. Lineage: Eukaryota; Metazoa; Chordata; Mammalia; Pilosa; Megalonychidae. The record is from RefSeq and is a predicted model, not a curated record.
GUUCUCCUUCAGCAGCACAUAUGCUAAAAUGGGAAUGAUACAGAGAUUAGCAUGGUUCCUGCGCAAGGAUAACAUGCAAAUUCAUGAAGUGUUCCAUAUUUUU